RNAcentral lists this long non-coding RNA (221 nucleotides) under Mytilus galloprovincialis (Mediterranean mussel). Lineage: Eukaryota; Metazoa; Mollusca; Bivalvia; Mytilida; Mytilidae. The record is from RNAcentral.
UUUUAAAUUUUAGUUUCUUUUGUAUAAUUCGGAGUUUAGUAUGACGUCCAUUAUCACUGUACUAUUAUGCAUAUUUUAGGGGCCAGCUGAAGGACACCUACGGGUGCGGGAAUUCUCGCUACAUUGAAGACCCAUUGGUUGCCUUCGGCUGUUGUUUGCUCUAUGGUCGGGUGGUUGUCGCUUUGACAUAUUCACCAUUUCCUUUCUCAAUUUUAUAUAUA